Molecule: ribosomal RNA, 253 nt
Filed under: uncultured bacterium
Lineage: Bacteria
Description: partial 16S ribosomal RNA
Rfam family: Bacterial small subunit ribosomal RNA
Source: RNAcentral
UACGUAGGGCGCAAGCGUUGUCCGGAAUUAUUGGGCGUAAAGAGCUCGUAGGCGGCCUGUUGCGUCCGCUGUGAAAUCCCGGGGCUCAACCCCGGGCCUGCAGUGGAUACGGGCUGGCUAGAGGCAGGCAGGGGAGAACGGAAUUCCUGGUGUAGCGGUGAAAUGCGCAGAUAUCAGGAGGAACACCGGUGGCGAAGGCGGGUCUCUGGGCCGACAUUGACGCUGAGGAGCGAAAGCGUGGGGAGCGAACAGG